AUGGGGCAGAGGCUCCCAGACCCGCACGAGCCCGCCAUCUGCUACCCCUUGCCGGGACGCCCUGCACGCUGCCCUCCUGCAGCCCGUCCAUUAGUUCCAGGUUCUGAGAGGUCACGCCAGGGCUUCCUGCCUGUCCGAGGCCUCAUGACACUCGUAGGGACAGAGGGGAUGGAGAGACGGAGGCAGACUCCCCUCCUGGGGGAGGGAGGGGCCCGGGUCACUCUUGGCGUCCUGCCACGGGGACCACGCCCAGCUCAGCCCCAACGGGGGCGGGUGACAGGCUGGGGGGCCUGGACCUGGCGGUCAGUCGUGGACCCUGCUUUCAACCCUUUCCUAUGCACCUUUCCUGGACGGCACAACAUUGCUAAGAACAGUGGCGACGGCUGUUCAAAGGAGCGCUUGCCGGAGGCCACCAUUAAGACACGCCGGGGGACUUUGCAAAAGGGACAGACUCGCCAAGUCGCUGCCUACACCUGAAGCCAACGUGACACUGUGUGUCCUCUACCCUUUGGCUCAACAAAAGGUCUGAUAGACGACACACGCUUUUUAAAAAAUCUUCCCGUGUACUCUGAAAUAAUCUCUUCUAGAUUAGAAUUAUUUCUUAAUACUUUCUUAAAUGCCGGGGAAAAGCUUUGAAUGGUUGUAUCUCCUGAUUCAAUUUAACUUACGUGUAUAGGAUUUCUCAGGUUAUUUCUUCUUGAUCUGCUUUGUUACAUGUUAUUUUUCCACAGUCGUGUCCAGUUCACCCAAGUUUUCAAAUACAUGAGCAUUUGACAGCCUCGUGACAGCCUCCCCACCGCAGCCCCUGGACCUCUGUCAUCCUGCCUCCUGGGCUCCCCCCGGCCCUCCGGUCCCGGUCAGGGUGACAGAGCCUUGUCCCCUCUGGCCGUCACCCUCACGGUCCACUCAGGGCGUCGCCGAUCCCCACUAUGCGUUUGCUUUACGCUUCUUACGCGUCUCCCUUUCCCUGGUUCCUUUCCGCCCCUUCUCGCUGUCCCCAAACAUCACAUGGUUCUGUCCUCUGCCACCCCGCCCCCGACAACGUCCCCUCACGCCUGAACCUCGGGUCUCGGAACCUGCCCACUUGGCUCACCCCGGUCGGAGCAGGACUCAGCCCUCCGGGUGCCCCUGUGUGUCCUGUUCCAGGUGGAUCCUGGCUGACACGUGCGAUGCCUUAGACAGUCUACUUCUUUGGGGUCCAACUAUACACAUCGGCCACUUUCUCUGCUCGUAACCAUGGACCCUUCAUGUUUUCCACGCUUUUGUUUCUGCUGAAUUAGAGAUCAUUUCUUCAGGCCUGUCCUCACUGGUCCCCUCUUCAGCGAUACCUAUCGCUGAAUCAAUCCGUCGAUUACCGAACCUAUAUUUUAAAAGCUGUAUUUCCAUUUGUUUUAUUUUUCAUUUUUAGAAAUUCUAUUUGGUUGCUUUUAGUUUGGCUCGAUCACACUUUUACAGUCACAGGCUCCUUAUUUCCAAG
Molecule: long non-coding RNA, 1477 nt
Filed under: Felis catus (domestic cat)
Lineage: Eukaryota; Metazoa; Chordata; Mammalia; Carnivora; Felidae
Description: lncRNA (ENSFCAG00000047687.1)
Source: RNAcentral